ACUCAAGAUGGCGAAACCUCGGCCGCCGCGGCUAUAUUCGCCGCGGCGUCACUGCCUUCCUGGCCUGGUGGUGAGAGGAAGUCGGGCCGCGAAAGCUUCCUGAGGAGAAAAUGGAGGGCCCUUCUCUCACACCGACGAGAAAAGUUCGAGGGGGAAAUACGAGUUCCUUUCUGAAGGGACAGGACGGCUGCUUUUCCACAGCCGCGACGUGAUUGAGAAAUGGUGGCUGGCAAGGGUAGGCCUGCCUUCGCCCCUCCAAAGUAAAAAUCGGGAGUUGAGACCAGAGGAACAUCUCUUUAUUACAUGACUAAGGAUAUGUUUUGAAAACUGGCCCCCGGGCAGCUGCUCGGGGACAGGAAGCUGACCUGACUUCUCCAGCUGGCCGGGGAGGCUGAUGCCGGGCCUAAGGGGCCGCGUCCGAGCCUCUCGGGGCGCGCCUCCAUGCAGGAAGGCGCGGAACUAGCGACCCGGAGACGCCGGGCGCGCGUCUGAGUGUGGGGGCAGGAAGGGGGGCCGACCGGGCCCGGAGGCCGCACCAGGCAGGAGGGAGGACUCCAGAGAGUGCGCGGGGGGCGCUGCGCGGUGGGACGGGGCGAGCCUGUAGGGCGCGCCUGGCGGCGGCAUGGCGUCUCCAGCCCAGGUUUUAAAAUACCUUCUAAUGUAAGGAAAUAGCCCUGCACCUUGUGCCCAUCCUAGAGAGAAAAUGGUUUCUUAAUAAAAAAUGUAUGAGGCCUUUUUUGCCCCAAUAUCUUCCCAAGCAGAGGAAUGUGAAGGGGGGUUGGGCCAAGAAGUGAGUGGUAGGAAGAGAGGCCUACGGAUUUAAAACAGGCCACUGCUUGGAGGGGUGUCUUUCCUAAACCACUGAAGAAAUUGAACCAGGCAAAGGAAGGGGGUUCACACCCACAAAUAAACUAUAACCUACAAAAGGAGCCCGGGUUCACAUCCACAAAUAAAUUGUAACCUACACAAGGAGUCUGGUUGAGGUCACAAAACAAAAGCCAGGAGGCAACCAAAAGUAGAAUAUGAAAUAGGUGCUGCCUUCUCACCUAGGAAUCCUUCCAGGGCUAAAACCUUCAAAUAUUCUGCUUUUAAGGUAGUCAGAUACCCUCACAACUCAUUUACAUCAGCCCUUCUCUGUUUUCAAGUGAGAAGCAUAGAUGGUUUAGAAUUAAGCUAUGAACUCUUGGAUCUUUUCUUCCAAGUUUAGUGUUAGUGGUAGAUAGGUCUAGUCCAACUAUCUCAAUACAUUGUUUUCUCCCUAGUUAAAACAGAUUUGCAAGAAUCAUUUGUAUGACACUUUAGGAAUACAGAUAAAUUGCUAGUGCAAAUAAUAUCCUUAUAUUUAUAAAAUAUAUGUGUACUUUUAAAAAAGUUAUAUGAAUCCAAUCCUCUGGCCUUUUAGUUAGUAUUGAGUGUGAUAGUUGUGGGAGAUCUGUAGUAAAUACGGUUUCUGAAGGGUGUGCUAUCAUCCCUAAUGAACUCACCUAUUAAUUGUGGUAAAGAGUUUUUCACUUGGGCUGGGCACGGUGGCUCACGCCUGUAAUCCCAGCACUUUGGGAGGCCGAGGCAGGUGGGUCGACUGAGGUCAGGAGUUCCAGACCAGCCUAGCCAACAUGGUGAAACCCCGUCUGUACUAAAAAAAAAAAAAAGAAAAAAAAUAGCUGGGCAUGGUGGCAGGUGCCUGUAAUCCCAGCUACUUGGGAGGCUGAGGCAGGAGAAUCCCUUGAACCUGGGGAGGCGGAGGUUGCAGUGAGCCAAGAUCGUGCCAUUGCACUCCAGCCUGGGCAACAAGAGCAAAACUCCGUCUCAAAAAAAAAAAAAAAAAGAAAAAGAAAAAGAAAUGAAAAAAAAAGUUUCCCAACAUGUAUUAGCCGUUUUCAUGUUGUCUGUAUUCACCUUUGCGUCAUCACCCCUCUUCAAUUUCCUCCUGGAAUUCAAUCACAGUAAUGGGUUAUCUCAGCAUAUAUUAUUCGCCAGUCUCACAUCCUGACCUCAUUUAUUUACCUAAAAAUAACCAGAACGAAAAAAAAAUCACAGAUUAAUUUACACUUGAUUUCACUUUAACUUCAAUUUAAAAUACUUAGAAUCCAGAAUUCCUAGUAAGUUGAACCUGGAAUACGCAGACCUGUGAUAAUAUCUUAAACACUCAAAUGUUUUCAACUUGCUGAAAUGGAGUUCACACUUUUAACAUUCUGGGCUUUUUUUUUAAAAGGGACUAUAAUACUUUAAC
This 2230-nucleotide long non-coding RNA is filed under the name Homo sapiens (human). Its description in RNAcentral is "non-protein coding lnc-CXCR5-1:9". Lineage: Eukaryota; Metazoa; Chordata; Mammalia; Primates; Hominidae. The record is from RNAcentral.